Hibiscus syriacus is the source of this 731-nucleotide long non-coding RNA. RefSeq lists it as uncharacterized. NCBI's taxonomy places the organism in Eukaryota, Viridiplantae, Streptophyta, Magnoliopsida, Malvales, Malvaceae. The record is from RefSeq and is a predicted model, not a curated record. The transcript has 3 exons.
CGAAUACCGAGAAGGCAGAAAAUAGAAAAGAAUUCCUUCUAAUUCUUCAUAAUUCACCGGUGUCCUGCAGUUUCAGAAAGUUAAGCAUAAAAUACCAAGGGUAUGCUAUACCCUAAUUUCAUGUUCUACAAUUUAUUUAAAUACUCUCGGCAAAUUCUUUUAAGGAUAAAUGAAUUCGCAAAUGGAAAUUGUACGAGUAGCCUUAUCUUUUGCAGAGGUAUCAAUAUCUGUUCUUGAUACUAAUAUCUGUUCUGAAUGCUUCGUAGAUUUCCAUGCGUGAACAACUUCAGUUGUUAUUCUAAUUUCUUACUGUUACUCUUACCACCAAUGUGGAAUAUGAAUUCAACAUAUUCCGAAUUCCUUGAAGUACUCGUUAAUGUUAUUAUGCAUGAUUGUUUCUUUUAAUUUUAUGAAUAAAAAGUACCAAAGCAACCCGCGGCAACCAUCGAGGUUCAGAACAUGAAAUGAUUUGCAUCUUGAUUUGGUUUAACCAAGAAACUUAUGGGACAAUUUUGUGGGGAAACUUCUAUGGAAGAAAGUAGGGAGGACAGUGAAAUCAUGUUUGUUCAUGAUCUAGCAGCGAAGUUGAGUACCGGAAAAGGCAUACAGACUCUUUUCCAGUUUUCUGGUCUACCAGUAGCUAAGCCUGAUAUGGUAACAUCCUCCUCCGGUAUUCGAGUUUUAUCAAACCAUUACAGCUUAGGCGACUGGUCUUAUCAGGUAAGCAAAGA